This is a long non-coding RNA of Neogobius melanostomus (round goby), 2041 nucleotides long. The record is from Ensembl. Lineage: Eukaryota; Metazoa; Chordata; Actinopteri; Gobiiformes; Gobiidae.
CUAACCUAUAAAAGCAUACAACACAUCAACAAUGAGACAGUUGGUUAAAUGUACGUAAAUAAAUCUUACAUUUGCUACUGACAGAAAAUGCACCGUGUUUGGACUGACAAAAGCGCAAAUAUAUAAAAGUUUCAUUUUCUACCUACCUACCUACAAACAUUACAUUGUAUCAGUUCCACUCUGCUGAACUCCAACUCCCAUAAUGCUUUGCCGUCUACGAACGGAUGGGGGGAAAAAACUACUUCCUAGUUCACAGUGCGACCAUGUGUAUUGCUUACUUCUGGACUGUAAAUAUCAGAUUUGACUAUGAAAAUUAGUGCUCUCGCUGACUUAGCGUGUUUUAUAUUGUUUUAUAUUUGUCCGCGAUGACCGCCUCAAACUCUGAGCUUAUCCCGUUGAUCUACCGUCACCUGAAGGAGCAUGGUUUCCACACAGCUGCAGACGAGCUUCAGAGACAGAGCACGCAGGAUGAGGCAUCAACAAAAUCCACAACAUUACUGGACAUCUACACAGCAUGGUUAAAAUCUUCAAAAAGAAGAAAAAAGCCUGCCAUAUCCAAACCACACACUCCUGGUCAGAAACAAACAACGCCCAAAAAAGUGGCACAGAAGAAAAAGACUGACAAAACCACUAAGCCAGCAUCCAAACUGGGAUCACCAAAAAAGGCCACUCCAACAAAAAGGAAAAAGGGUGAUGGGAAAACGACAAAGAAAGUUGUGAAAUCCAAUAAUCCGGACUCUUUGACUGAAGAAGCAGCUGCUGGAGAGAACUCCGACUCUGACAGCAGUUUGGAUGUGGAGAAGUGGAAGAAACUUGUUCAGGAAAUGACAGACACUGACCUACAGAAAGUGGAAGCUUUCAAUGCCCUUGCGACUCCUGAGCCUAAAAAACAGAGGGUACGAAAACCUCGGGCGAAGCCAAAACCCAAAACUGAAACUCCUGUGAAUGCUCAGAGUGAACAGGGUGAAAAGUCAGAUAAAUCUACGGACGCAGUUUUGGCUACGAAUAAUCCGACCAAAAAGAGUCGCCCAAAAAAGGCUGCACCUGUAGCUGCUUUGGACAACUCAAACAAAGAUCAAAGCAAUAAAACUCCAGUGGCAUCCGUCAUCUCAACACUCAAACAGAGUCCUAAAAAAGAGAAAGGAAAGCUUCGGAUCAACUUUCAGUCGAGCCAAAACAGAAAAAGAAGAAAACUAUUCAAAAUAAUGCCACUACAAAUGCAACAGAUGAAGAUGAUGUUAUUGCCAAAAAUGUUAAUAACAAUAAUAUGGUCAGUCCCAUAGAGAAAGGCCAAGUGAAUACUCCAAAUCUCAAAACAAAGCCCAAAAAGAAGAAAGAAACGGCUCAAAUUGAUGUCAUCGUAAACGCUACAGGUGAUGGUGGCUUUGUUGACAAAAAAUGUGAUGGCAAUAAUAAAGAUGCUAUAUUGAUUAGUCAAAUAGAAGAAGGAAAUGAAAAUGCUUUCAAUCCUCAAACUGAGCCAAAAAAGAAAAAGAAAAAGGCAUAUGAAGAGUCCGUCGAUAGCAACGUGUUAAGUAAAAAUAAUGCAGUAAGUACAGUAGAAGAUUUAAAUGGGAACCUGCCAGCGGAAGACUUAACUCUUUCCCUAAACACUGCUGAAAGUGAGGGUGACUCUAUAGUGAAGGUAAAGAAGAAGAAGAAAAAGGAUAAAGCAGAAGAUGACUCUCAGCAAGCAGUUAUUGAGGCUAAUACUAACUAUGUAAUUAAUGACGGGACAAGUGAGCAAACGGCGGAAGAAGCCAGUUUAAAUACAGAAGUCCCUAAAAAGAAGAAAAAGAAAAAGGACAAAAACAAAGAGGAGUCGGAGACAUUGCCACAGUUGGAGGUGAAUGUUUUAGACGAGGCGGUUUGUGCUGAAGAAAAUACGGAGCAAAUAGUUGUAAAGAAAAAAUCUAAAAAGAAGAAAAGACAGAGUGAAGAACAUUUGGUAGAGGACAAAACGUCAACAACUGAGGCCUGUGAAAUACCAGAGGAGCCUCCAGAUCCUCCAAUGUCUCCACAGACGCCAGGCUCAAAGAAA